Molecule: ribosomal RNA, 1392 nt
Filed under: uncultured bacterium
Lineage: Bacteria
Description: bacterial SSU rRNA
Rfam family: Bacterial small subunit ribosomal RNA
Source: RNAcentral
AGAGUUUUAUCCUGGCUCAGGAUGAACGCUGGCGGCGUGCUUAACACAUGCAAGUCGAACGAAGCACUUUAUUUGAUUUCUUCGGAAUGAAGAUUUUGUGACUGAGUGGCGGACGGGUGAGUAACGCGUGGGUAACCUGCCUCAUACAGGGGGAUAACAGUUGGAAACGACUGCUAAUACCGCAUAAGCGCACAGGGGCGCAUGACCUGGUGUGAAAAACUCCGGUGGUAUGAGAUGGACCCGCGUCUGAUUAGCCAGUUGGCGGGGUAACGGCCUACCAAAGCAGACGAUCAGUAGCCGACCUGAUACGGUGACCGGCCACAUUGGGACUGAGACACGGCCCAAAUUCUUACGGGAGGCAGCAGUGGGGAAUAUUGCACAAUGGGGGAAACCCUGAUACAGCGACCCCGCGUGAGCGAAGAAAGUAUUUCGGUAUGUAAGGCUCUAUCUGCAGGGAAGAAGAAAUGACGGUACCUGACUAAGAAGCACCGGCUAAAUACGUGCCAGCAGCCGCGGUAAUACGUAUGGUGCAAGCGUUAUCCGGAUUUACUGGGUGUAAAGGGAGCGCAGGCGGUACGGCAAGUCUGAUGUGAAAGCCCGGGGCUCAACCCCGGUACUGCAUUGGAAACUGUCGGACUAGAGUGUCGGAGGGGUAAGUGGAAUUCCUAGUGUAGCGGUGAAAUGCGUAGAUAUUAGGAGGAACACCAGUGGCGAAGGCGGCUUACUGGACGAUUACUGACGCUGAGGCUCGAAAGCGUGGGGAGCAAACAAAAUUAGAUGCCCUGGUAGUCCUCGCCGUAAACGACCCUAAAGGGUCGGGGAGCUUUGCUCUUCGGUGCCGCAGCAAACGCAAUAAGUAUUCCACCUGGGGAGUACGUUCGCAAGAAAGAAACUCAAAGGAAUUGACGGGGACCCGCACAAGCGGUGGAGCAUGUGGUUUAAUUCGAAGCAACGCGAAGAACCUUACCAAGUCUUGACAUCCCGAUGACAGAACAUGUAAUGUGUUUUCUCUUCGGAGCAUCGGUGACAGGUGGUGCAUGGUUGUCGUCAGCUCGUGUCGUGAGAUGUUGGGUUAAGUCCCGCAACGAGCGCAACCCCUAUUCUUAGUAGCCAGCGGGUAAGCCGGGCACUCUAGGGAGACUGCCAGGGAUAACCUGGAGGAAGGUGGGGAUGACGUCAAAUCAUCAUGCCCCUUAUGACUUGGGCUACACACGUGCUACAAUGGCGUAAACAAAGGGAAGCGAGCCUGCGAGGGGGAGCAAAUCUCAAAAAUAACGUCUCAGUUCGGACUGCAGUCUGCAACUCGACUGCACGAAGCUGGAAUCGCUAGUAAUCGCGAAUCAGAAUGUCGCGGUGAAUACGUUAACCGGGUCUUGCACUCACCGCCCGUCA